This 77-nucleotide transfer RNA is filed under the name Candidatus Pelagibacter sp. RNAcentral's name for it is "tRNA-Arg". It matches the Rfam family "tRNA". Rfam says of the family: Transfer RNA (tRNA) molecules are approximately 80 nucleotides in length. Their secondary structure includes four short double-helical elements and three loops (D, anti-codon, and T loops). Lineage: Bacteria; Pseudomonadati; Pseudomonadota; Alphaproteobacteria; Candidatus Pelagibacterales; Candidatus Pelagibacteraceae. The record is from RNAcentral.
GCGCCCUUAGCUCAGCUGGAUAGAGCAACGGUUUUCUAAACCGUAGGUCGAAGGUUCGAAUCCUUCAGGGCGCGCCA